CCACGGGACGCAGCAGUAGGGAAUCUUCCACAAUGGACGAAAGUCUGAUGGAGCAACGCCGCGUGAGUGAAGAAGGGUUUCGGCUCGUAAAGCUCUGUUGGUAGUGAAGAAAGGUAGAGGUAGUAACUGGCCUUUAUUUGACGGUAAUUACUUAGAAAGUCACGGCUAACUACGUGCCAGCAGCCGCGGUAAUACGUAGGUGGCAAGCGUUGUCCGGAUUUAUUGGGCGUAAAGCGAGUGCAGGCGGGUCAAUAAGUCUGAUGUGAAAGGCUUCGGCUCAAACGGAGGAU
Molecule: ribosomal RNA, 290 nt
Filed under: uncultured bacterium
Lineage: Bacteria
Description: partial 16S ribosomal RNA
Rfam family: Bacterial small subunit ribosomal RNA
Source: RNAcentral